This 1251-nucleotide long non-coding RNA is filed under the name Chinchilla lanigera (long-tailed chinchilla). RNAcentral's name for it is "lncRNA (ENSCLAG00000028195.1)". The record is from RNAcentral. Lineage: Eukaryota; Metazoa; Chordata; Mammalia; Rodentia; Chinchillidae.
UAAUAGUUUUUUAACUUUAAUUUUUAAGGUCCAUGUUGGCAGUACGUAGUGAUGACCUUCAUCUUGGGGAGUUGGUGCCUAUGCGUAACACACCUUAGUCCAUUCACAGUUUUUAAAUAGCAGCCUAGCAAUUACUCGUCAAGGACUUGAAACAUGCUGAGUGCGUGUGGAGCCAUGUGGAACCUAUGCAGGAGAUUCCUGGUUUUGAUUUUAUAUUGGAUUAUUUGCCAACAAACUCAAACCAAUCACGUGCUUGAGUGCCCUGACUACUUCCUGCUGGAGGACAACGUCUCAGCUUCCUCUGAGUCCUGUGACUUUGUUGAAGCUAGAAACACAGUAAGCGAGGCAGGUGGAGGUAAGAGCCACCCUCUGCUUCGGAAGAUGUCAGCUUCAGCCACCAGUACGCUCAGAUUCCCAGCACUGGAGGAGGAACAGUGCCAGGUCUGUGUCGCAUGAACUCUAUAAAACGCUCCCUGAGCAGUGAAGAGGAUAUAGACACGUGACACCUUUGGGCAGCCCAGAAAUUAGAGCUGGCUUCGCUGUACCCACCCCAUGACCUGCUGCAGGAAACAAAAGGAAGGGCGUUGGGUGGCCCUCCAAGUGCUUCUGCGUAUCUUCUGCUGGGCAUGAAAUGUGUGCCUCCUGAAGCCCAGAGAAGCCAUCCCCAGAUGCCAGGGGAAUUUCCAACACAGGCAGGCGGGAAACAAGAUCCUCCUCGCUGGUCACACACCCUCCGUGCUGCCCUGGAUCCAAGGAAGGUUCUUACUUAGCAAAGUCUGCUCUCAAGUUUCACUGCAGCACUAGUGGAGUGGAGUUCGCAGCUGCCGGGCAGCAGGUCCAGGGGCUCUGCAUCUGCAGCUGGGAAGCAGCUGCCCCAGACCAGACUGCCUGGGAGCCCGAACACGCACAUCUGCCCUGAGCCCCAUCUCCUUCUGGCUAGAGGGCUCUGCUUCGUUUAAUUUUUAUUUUUAUGAGUACGUCACAUUCACGGUGGGGAGCUGGUACAUGUACGAGACAUAUCUUCAUUCUUUUGUAAAUCCCCUCCCCCUCUUCUCUUCCACCUCGCUCCAUCUCUUAGCUCCAUUCUCUUUUGCAGAAGAUCCAUCCCUGUUUCCUAUGAUCUAUCGUUUAUUUGGCUCUUAAUUUAUUUGUACUUUGGAUUUCUCAUAGAAGAGAAACUGUGUGAUACUGAAGCUCGUGUGUCUGAUUUAUCUCACUUAACAUUAUGAUCUCAAAGUGCACCCAUUUUCC